AGGCUGCCGGGCCUCCGCCCCCUGCGUGCUGAGGGCUGUCUGCGCUUUCUGGCGGCCCCACCCCCGGCUCUCUGAGCUCCGCGAGGUUGCUGAAAAAGAUGAGGCUGGAGAAGACAGCAGGAGCCAAAUGAUGGAUCAUCUAUGCCCUGGUGAGGCAAUGAGUGGACAGACUACAAUUUAAGCGAUUCUGUUGGUAGAGAAUAGAUAACUUGGUGGUGGGGUGGAGGGGAAGGAAAAGGGCAAGCAGAGAGUGGACAAGGGGUCAUCGCAGAAGUCUAGAAGAGAAAACUUAAGGACCCUUGUGUGAGUAGCAGUGAACAUCCAAAGGAGAUGGAUUCCUAAAAUAGUCAAGAGGCCAGAUCAACUAAUACUUGGUUGCUAGGGGCAGCUGCAGGAUAGGAGAAUGGAAGAGGCAAUGAUGAUGCCUUGUUUUGCUUUGAGGGAGGAGUAGAAUAAGGGUGUAUUUUACGAAGUAAGAUAAGGAAGUGUUAGGACUGGGAGGGACAGUCAUUUUUGCAGGAAAAAAUGAGUUUAGUUUUGGAGCUGAUGUGUGAAGUAAGAGUGGUGCUGUCUAAUGGUGCUUAAUAUAUGGGUCUAGAGUUCUGGGGAGGAGCUGGGCUGAAGUUGGAAACACCACAGGUUUACGUUACCACAUCCAAGCUGACUACAGUCUUAACGUCAUUGAGCACAGUUUCAAAACCACUUCUCCUUUCUCCCUGCCUUUACUUGGGAAAAUUACUGAAGUGCUGCAUUAAAAAACCCAAUAUGAGUGAUUUGUGCCCAUUCAUAGACCAAUAUUCUAAUGUUUAAUGGUCUUCUAAGGACCCUAAGGGUCAGGGUUAGCAGAAACUGGGUGUAACAGUGGUAACUAUUAAUAGUAUAGCAUCAUUAACUCAAAAAUGAAAUCUAUGUUUAUAUUUUAAUUUUUUUCUUUUUUAUUCUGUAGGAAUUGCUCCAUUCCAAUAAAACAUUUUAAAUUUAAUCAUUGACAACAGUUAAGCUGGCCAUAGGCUAAGAAUUGAGGAUGGUGGGUCGCACAAAUAUCUGCUGAAUGGAGAACUAGAAGGAGGAUGACUUCAAGAAGAGUAAGCAAUAGGAAUGCAAUGAAAGACAACGUCAAAUUCAUUAGUCAGCCUGUCUCAGUUGCUUUUCGGUGGCUCACAGCUCUGCUAACCUAGCAUAAAUCAGUCAGAAAUAGAAUAGUUCAUUUUGAGCAGAGGCUUCAGAAAACCACAAAUAGUAAAAGCCCUAUAAUAACUACACCUGCAAACCAAAGACUAAUUAUUGGUUUUAGCUCUAUAUCCCUGUAGAACAGCAUUUUUGAAUACACACAAAAAUGAGAAAUUUGUUCACUUCUUAGAUUAUUUAAAUACAGUAUUUUCAAUUUGCCUAGGAUAAAGAAGCAUUUAGAUGUGUUGAACAUUCAUAUAAUGGAUAAUAUACUGAACAAGAAAUGAGAAUAAUUAGCUUGAGUUCGUUUUUUGUUAGUUGUUCACUGUAUGACCCUAGCAGUGUCACUUAACCUCUCUAUGCCCUAGUUUCUUGACUGUAAAAUAGAGAUAAUAAUGUCUGUCAGUCGCAUCUCAGAGAUAUAGGAAAUAACAAAUUAAUGCUAUGAAAGCUCUUUGAGGUACUUGGAUGAAAGGGCAUAAUUGUAAGUACAUAUUAUUAAUAAUUAGCUCUAAUAUCCAGUAGCACUCAUGACCAUUACUAACUUUGCUGCCUGGAUUACUCAAAGAACAUGAAGGAUCCAGUUUUGAAAUGCACUUAGAUAUUUUUUCUUGA
Sapajus apella (tufted capuchin) is the source of this 1785-nucleotide long non-coding RNA. RefSeq lists it as uncharacterized. The record is from RefSeq and is a predicted model, not a curated record. NCBI's taxonomy places the organism in Eukaryota, Metazoa, Chordata, Mammalia, Primates, Cebidae. The transcript is spliced from 2 exons.